CUACGGGUGGCAGCAGUGAGGAAUAUUGCACAAUGGGGGAAACCCUGAUGCAGCAACGCCGCGUGGAGGAUGACGCAUUUCGGUGUGUAAACUCCUUUUAUCAGAGAAGAAAAUGACGGUAUCUGAUGAAUAAGCUCCGGCUAACUCCGUGCCAGCAGCCGCGGUAAUACGGAGGGAGCAAGCGUUAUUCGGAAUCACUGGGCGUAAAGGACGCGUAGGCGGGUUUUUAAGUCAGGUGUGAAAUCCUACAGCUCAACUGUAGAACUGCACUUGAAACUGGGAACCUAGAGUAUGGAAGGGACAGGUGGAAUUAGUGGUGUAGGGGUAAAAUCCGUAGAUAUCACUAGGAAUACCGAAAGCGAAGGCGACCUGCUGGGACAUAACUGACGCUGAGGCGUGAAAGCGUGGGGAGCAAACAGGAUUAGAUACCCUAGUAGUC
Molecule: ribosomal RNA, 439 nt
Filed under: uncultured bacterium
Lineage: Bacteria
Description: partial 16S ribosomal RNA
Rfam family: Bacterial small subunit ribosomal RNA
Source: RNAcentral